Molecule: long non-coding RNA, 20976 nt
Filed under: Olea europaea (common olive)
Lineage: Eukaryota; Viridiplantae; Streptophyta; Magnoliopsida; Lamiales; Oleaceae
Description: long non-coding RNA (OEUR_LNC002358)
Source: RNAcentral
UUACGAACCAAGAAAGGAUUAAACUAAUUGGAGAAGGGAUACUAGUUUUGGCAAAGAAAAAAUAUUCAAAUUAAAAGACACGGCUAUUUCCAAAAGAAGUUAAAAGACAAAAUCUUUUAACUCAACCAACUUAUGAAAUUCAAAUUUUGUUUUAAUUUCUUCGUUCUAUAUCAUUUCAAGAGCAACGAUAUAAUUUCUUCAUUCAUACUCCAACAUAUUUAACUUCAUCAUUAUUCAAUAUAUGCUAGUGCACAUUACAUAAUUAAGACAGCAAACAUUAUACAACAUUACACUCACAAACCACUACUAAAUUUACAUAUUUAUUGGCAUCAUAUUCAUCCACGAAGUUGUAUAUAUAACGCGUAAAUGCUACACUUUGUCGAGCUAGAUUCAGCAUGGAGGCUUAAUUUAAGGUUGUGCAUCCCUCAUUCCACCAGCAUUUUUGCUGCCUCCUCCACCUCCGGAAGAACCUCCUUUUGUAUAGCCUGCAGGAUAACCUCCACCUCCAGGAUAGCCUCCUGGAUAGCCUCCAGGAUAGCCUCCUGGAUAUCCUCCAGGAUAGCCUCCUGGAUAGCCUCCUGGAUAGCCAGGCCACCAACCUCCAGGUCCUGGCCAAUACUCUUAUUAACAAACACAUUAACACAAUUCAUGUUAGCCAUUAAUACAUGUAUACUAUAUUAAUUUAUGCUCAUCAUAAAACAAAGUUAUAAAAUACAGAACUUACGAUGAUCUGCUGUCGCUUUUGAUGUAAUCAGAAGAACUACAGCCAAGAAAAUGCAAAAAGUAAUUGUCUUGGAGCCCAUUUUUCUCUCCAAGAAUUUUCUUAUACUUUUUCUUAAUGAGUAUUUUGGUGUGUCAAGCCUCUAUUUAUAGCUAAAAUCUGGACAGAAAAGAGAGAGAGAGAGAGAGAGAGAGAGAGAGAGAGAGAGAGAGAGAGAGAGAGAGAAAUUUGCUAUUUGAGGUAAGUAGAGUAUGUCUUGACUUGGUCUACCUUAUCCUCAACCUGUCGGGGUUUACUUGUUUUCAUUAGGGGGAAAUAGAGAUGAUCAUGUAGUGCCGAAUUUUGCCAACCGUCGAAAUUUAAUAUCAUAAAUAAGUUAAUGUAACAUGAUGAAGUGCCUAAUUUAUUGUCAAUAUAUCCUAUAACUUAGUCGAGAAUAGUCUGCAUAAAAAGGCCUCUUCUAUGUGAUCUAAUACCAUAUUUUUCUAUUUUCUUUUAGUUUAUUUCAGAAAAUUGGCGCAGAUCGUUGUGCUGCGGAUUAUUUGCACUGCAACUUCAUAGGUUAGAGGCCAUUUGCGUCAAUUAUCGGUUUGUUUCUAGUGACCCCAGAAAUCAGGUCGUCUGCGGUCGCGUUAGGGUAGGCACAGUAAAUAGAUUGUCAUUUAGCAGAUGAUAUCCAUUCAAAUGGACAAAAGGUCAGAUGGGUCCGAAUUCAGUAACUGUUGUUUAAAGCUAUUCAUAUUAAAUAAAAUAAUUUUUUUUUUUUUUAGUAAUAUUAUUUGUAAUCACUCACUGUCGUAAUCAUCCUACGUGACAUACAUGUGGUGGUUACUAAUUUGAUACAUUAAUGUGAUAUUGUUUUAUGUAUCAAAUCACAAACCAAUACAUAUUUACCAUGUACAGCGACUGCGAUAAUAAACAGCAACUACAAAUAGCAUUAUUCCUUUUUUUUCCCAUUUCACAAUCAAACUUGAGUGAGAUAUUUCUAGCACAAUUCUCACGGUUUGAAGGUCCACUCUGUUGAUAGAGAGUCAUGCUUGAUUUUGAACCAGUUGCCAGUUAAUCUUAUCAACAAUUAUAUGGUUCAUAUACCAUGCAAUUUACUCAUUUCAUCCAAAAUAGAAUAUCAAAAUAAAAUCGAUUUCCCAAAGAUCGACAACGUCUAAGCGUCCAAAGCUCGACCAAAAGAAAAUGAUAGGGAUUAAAUUGAUCGAAAUUAGAAGUUGUAAAAACUAAUGGGACUAAAUUAAAUUUAUUUGGAAGAUAAUGGUUUAAAUAAAUUAUUAAGGGUUGGAAUUAAUAAUCCAUGAUUUAACUCAAAAUAGGUUCAAGGGCCAAAAACUUCGAAAUUAGAAUUUUUGGACAACUUCAUUCAUGAUCGAACAGUCAGCUUGAAGACACGAUUACGACUUGUAAAUUGAGAGUUAACUCUGAAUGUUAGCUCAUUUUUAAAAUUCAUUACGAGACCAGCGAUUUAAUAUCAAUAUUGAAUAUUUUUCAUCUCACCAAAUAGCGACAAAACUAAUGCCGAAGUUGAACUCGAAAUCUGGAAUUGCUGAAUCUUUUUGUGUUCAACAUUUUAUGCACACCGGAAAAACAAGAAAGUUUAGAUGAAAGUUGAAAUUACAAAUAUUUCAAAUUUCACCUUUUCUUUUUCAAAAAGCCGAAAAAUCUAAGACAGUUCAAAAAUUCUAUCUUCUUCAUGAUUACAAGAAGGGAAAUUUUGAAAGAACAUGAACUAAGAUUCAUUAAACAAAAAUGAAACCUUUUUGGAAAGAAACGGUAAGAGUAAAGGAAAAUGAUAAAAACUUAUAAUCCCUCAGUCCCACAAAGAGAGGCUUCCUUCCAUUAUUACAAAGAUAAAAAAAAAUUCUUAUUGUUUAAAAAAUAAAAAUUGAUGUUGGUGGACUUCCAAUUUUCUUAUUUCACCUGUGUUUUUGCUCAUUGCUACCACAGCACGUCUGUUAAGGCUGCAAUUAAGUAGCGAGAAGAGAAGAGAGGAUGAUUAAAGAGAGAAAGUGAUUCGAAUGGGUUUCUGCAAUAGAGUGAGAGAUUUGCGUGUGUGGGAAAUGGGGACAGCUCGUUGGGUGUCAAAAGGGAGAGAAAAAAGAAAAUCAAAAAAUAACUAUUUGCUAACACGUGUCAAAAUGACAUGUUAUGCGAUCAUAAGCGGGGAAAAAGAGGAGAAAAAAAUAAAGGAUUAAAUUGUAACAUUGUCCGCGCAACUGAAUUAACUUCAAUUUUUGGGUGAGACUUACUAAUAAAGUUGGAAGAAUCCAUAUGUACAUAUUUUAAGUUUACAGAAGUUGCACAAACUCAUGUGUGUGGGCUUUACAGUAUAUAAAAUAUUCCAAAAAUAUUGUGGGCCUCAAGAACUGUGAGAUUUCUGUACCCAUUCUGUAUAAAAUUUUUCUAUACGUGUAUAACAGCCCAAUAAAGUUUCCUUUUCUUACAUUAUGGCAGCAUGGGUACUUGUCUGCAUUUAAUACAUUUAAGCAUUUUGUUACUUUCUUUGUACGUAUUGAUAGAGCUUGAAGCGUCAACUGACUUGAAGAUGAAGUUGAAAUUUAAAAAGGUUGAACUUCAACUUUAAGGACCCCCACCGUUCCGUCCUUGGAGUAUUAUGAGAGAGGUAAAUCGAGGGAUGUGACUCAACAGACCAGGGAAUAAGAACUUGUCUGUACACUGAUAUCCACAAAGAGUCCAAUUCUAUAUUUCGGGAGUUGAAAUUUAAAGUGUAUGUGAAGUUGAUCAUUAUAAUUUACUCGGGCAAGGACUCGACCCUUUUUCUUUCAAAAUUGACACUUAUUAAGCCCCCGUUUGUUUUCGAUUAUUUACUAAUUAAAAUGAAAAAUAUAACCAUUAUUCAUCACAUCAAGCCACCAUAUUUGACUUUUUAUCUCUUGUGUGGGACCCGUAACGACUAUAUUUUUCAUUCUCAUUUUUACAUUAUUAUGUACCAAACAGGGCCUAAACCUUUCUUUUUGAAACCGUAUAUUUAUACUCUUUUCAAAUAAAUUGGUGAAUUAUGGUGUUACUGAUAGCAAAAAGUCAUGUUAAAUUCUUCUCAUGAACUCUAAUUAUUGUUUUAUUUUUUAUUUUUAUGAUCGUGGGUGUACAGGCCAACUUACACGCACCUCAACUAAUUUCACGGGACCCUAAAGUUUACGGCCGGCAUAAACUCUAACUAUUAGAAGAUGCAAGAAUGUCUAAAGAACCCAAAGGAGCUCGUAAAAUCACUUGAGAUGAUUUUGCGAAUGGGUUUAGUGACUUACGAGAUGCUAUUCUUUGCCAUAUUUUAUCAUUUCUGAACACAAAAUAUGUGGAGGCCACUCUAUACAACUCAUCAGAUUUAAGGACCUUUUUGUUUCUGUCCUUGACAUCCUUCUUGAAUUAGUCGUUGCGGUAGAAAUUGCAAGGUGUAGUCUUAGACAAAUUAUGCUACGAAAUGUGCCUCAAAUCAUUUAAUUUCGUUUUAAAUGCAAUUUCACUUUUAAUGAUUCUGCAAUCAAAACUCUAGCAUGUGCUGCAAUAUGGCAAAGUUUUAAACAUGUUGAUAUUUGUGUGAGGUAAAAUCACUAGAAUAUUAUCAUCUGAAUUCUAUAUCACUGGUUGUCUUGAAGCUAAGAGGGUCUUUGAAUUUACACGUCCCAUAUAUGAUCUCCUCACCCAAUUUAAAGGAGAUUCUCUUCGAAGAUUUCACAUUAGCAAGUGAUGAUUUAAUGAGAAGAUUGUUCAAAGUUAUAAGCUACUUGAAGAUUUGUCGCUAUUUGGGUAGAGAUUUGAGCAUGUUGAUGUUCUUUAUCUUUCACUCCUUUCCUUCGAAAACUUUCUUUCGAUCACAGUUUUGGACACAAGAAACUAAACUUGUAAUUGAUACAUUAGAAGAACUAAAGCCUCUUGCAAGAGCGAAUAUUUCUUUGCAAAUGACUGCGUAAAAUCAAGAGAACGUAGAUGAGUUUAUCAAUGGGAUGCAUGAAAUCAAAUCAAUUUAUUUAUCAUUUGUAAUCUAGAGGUAAAAAAACUAAGCUUUAUUAUCUACUCCACAACGUAUUAUGAGUAUAGAAAAAUUUAUAUUCAAAUUACAAAUACAUCUACUAAACUACCUUUGACUGUGUUUGAUCACGUCCAAGUGCAAUAGUUAUGCUUGCGUCUAUCAAACUCUAUAGCAGCCCGUUCUAAAUAGCUCAGGCACCUAUCUAUGUUAGUUCGAAAAUUUGGGCCCACAAACUGGAACAGUUUUACAAAAAUGACGACAAUCAUUCAUGAUUUUGAUCAUCAUGAGUAUAUAUAUAUAUAUAUAUUAGGAUGGCAAAAAAAUUCUAUAAAACCCGAUAUCUGUGAGGUCCCACCCCAAACCAAGCAGGAAUUACCCGCUUAAUCCGAUAUUCAAGUCGGGUACGGGACGGGGGAUUUCCCUAUGUUUAACUUUUUUUAUUUUUUUAACGGGGAAUUUCGCUCUACUUAAAUUUUUUUUUUAAGAAUUCAAUAUUUUAAAAGGAAAGCUCCACGAAAUUUUAUUAAUUCUAAUAAAAGAUAUAAACUAAAAUUAUCUAAAAAAUAUGAUAAACAAUAAAAAUCUUAAUUUACUAAAUAUAUUCGAAUAAUUUAACUUUUAAAAAUAAACUAAUUAAUUAAAAAUUUUAAUAACUAUAUUAUUGUCUUACUUUAAUAAAUGGGAGCAAUAAAAUUGAUUAUAAAAAAAAAAAGACUAAACAAGUAUGUAAACGAGACAAGGGCCCAAACCCGCCCCGCCCUACCCCACCUUAAAUGCGUAAUAGGGUGGGUACGGGCCCUGCCCCGACUUGAAUUUGCCCCGUUACCAUCCAUAUUAUUUGUUUUAUUGCACUUUAUAUUGUAUUAAUUUUUCUGAAGAUAUGUCAACAUAACAUGAUAUUAGGAUAGAUACGACCAGCGACGGAUCCAACACCCGGUGAGGGGGUGCGGUUGCCCGUGCUGGAUCCAUUGGUAGUUUCACUUGCCGUCGGGCACCAAGAGAGAAGCUUUCAUAGUUGCAAAGAAGUCACAAAUUGAAACCAUGGAGGCGGGAUUUUGGGAAGAAGAUAGACAACCAUGGGUUAUGUUUUUUAUUUUUUUUAUUUUGGGCCUCCUAUUAAGCUGUUGGUUUUUUAAAAAGUGGAAAUUACACAAAUUAAUAGAUUUAAAGAUCCCAUUUCAUAAAUCAUAGGUGAAGUUUACUAUUUCAAAAAUCAGAUAUUUUAUUAAUUAAUUAGUAUAUUUUAAAUAUUAAUAAUUAUAUUACAAAAUUAAAUAUACAUAUUCAUCCUACCAAACCCUAAAUUCAUCUUCAUUCAUCCCUUUCAUUUUCUCUCUCUAUAUCUCACCUCCGUCUUCGUUCCUUUCAUUUUUUGUCUCUAAAUUCAUAGGCCGUCAAUUCGUCAAACUAGAAUAUAAUACAAUUUAAUUAUUAAUUGUGGAAUAUUAAAUAACUCGAUUCAUCAAUUUUUGCAAUUUUAGCCUCUUAGGAGAGAAAUGAUUACCUUUGAAAUCAAUGCGACGUUUCAUUGUGAUCGACGAAGGUGAUGGUGACUUGAACAAGUCAAGAACAGAGAUCGGACUUGGUUGCAGUCAUUUUGGCUGUGCUAUUGAGCAAUUUAUCACACCUAUCUAGAAACAAUGGAAGAUUCAUCCUCUAUGACGAUGGUGGUGAUUUUCUCUUUCCGACGACUCUCCACUGUGGAUUUCUUAUUCCUAGUCGAUCAAUUCAUGACGGUUUGAAGUGAUCCUCUUUUUCUUGUGUCCAACUUCGGCGAGUGAAUGUGAGAAAGUCUAAUUCUUUGUUGACUCGUUAGCUCUACUACGAGUUUCAGCGUUUAACGGCUUAGGUUUGUUGAGCGAGUUUGACCGCUUCUCAUUACUCUUACUCCAAGCUAGUGCGCUUGAGCUUCUAGCUUGCCUCGUAGGGCUCCUAACUUUUUUCAUUGAUCACAAGUCAGCAGCAGUGAUAUGGUGGUCACAAGUGUUGUGGUGAUCACAAAUUAUUUGGUUGACUGUGACCAUUAAAGUAGUUAAUAUGUGACCAGUAAAAAAUAUGUGGCUAAUAAAAAAUAUAAAUUGUGACCAAAAAAUAACGUGUGACCUAAGAAAUUGUUAAUAUGUGGCCGAUAAUUUAAUAAUUUUUUACUUUGUAAUAAGUUAUGACUUAUAAUAUUUGUAAUUUGUGAUCAAUAAAUAAACUGUGACCCAUAAUUUUGUUCAUUUGUGAACGAUGGACAAACUGUGACUUAUAAAAAUUUUAAAUUCUGAUCGUAAAAUAAUUUAUAACAUAAAAAUUUUGAUUUUGUGACUAAAAAAUAAUAAGUGACUAACUAAGUCAUUAAUUUGUGAUCAAAUUGUAUAAAUUUGUGACUUAAAUAAAUUUAAUUAAUUAAUUAAAUCAUAAAUAAAUUUUAAUAAAAAUCUGAUUUUUGAAGUUUGAAACUUGUUUCUUGAUUUUGAAAUGUGUGAUACUUAAACUUUCUCUAUUAAGAAAUUAGGCCCAAUUUUGAAAGAAAUGGAUUUGGGCCGGUGAUUGAUUUUUGAAAAGAAAUUGUAAGCUCUUCCAAAUUGUUUGGAAAACCUUCCUCUAUGAUGUGGUGAUCAACAACUUUGAAGUAUCUUUAUAUUCUUGAGCAACCCUGGGUCACGCCUACUAUUGAAGAUCACUCCUUGAAAACAGAAACAACAUAUCUCGCAACUUUGAGUGUUGAAGGUGAGUAAUCUGCUUGAUGAUUUUGGGAUUUUCUUGAAUCUGUUAUUUGGGGAGUUUGAUUUUGGACAAAAUGUGUUUGAGAGGAAAUAAGGGUUUUGAUAAAGGGCUGCAAUUACAAGGUUUUCCAUGAUUUAUUGUGUAUUAAAGUAGUGCUUUCUUUUUUUUUUUUUUUUCUUUUUUUGAUUGAUUCGUGCCGUCAAACAUUAUAAUAAAUGUGUUGGGGUUUUUUUUUUUUCUUUUUUUGAUUGAUUCGUGCCGUCAAACAUUAUAAUAAAUGUGUUGGGGUUUUUUUGUUUUCAUUUUUUACUGCUAAAAUUGCAGCAAAUCAUUAUAAUAAAUGUGUUGGAAUAUCUCGCGAUUUUGGCUCAUUGUUCAUUUCAAUUUAUCUCUCUUCUGGCAUCUUUACACUUUUGUUUUAAUGUAUAUGCAUUUUCAUAGUUCUGAUAGAUGUCUUAAUAGUGUGGUUGGUUGAUAGAGUGGAUUGGAUUGACCGGUCACCAGAUGAUCUUAAGAAAGAAAACAAAAAAACUAAAACUUUGUCCCUCGUAUUGUUAAAUGUAUCCAGUUCUGUGCACCAAAAAUUUUCUAUUCACCAGCAAUUUCACCAAUGCUGUCAAUUUUUUCUUGUUCCUUUAAGUCAUGAAGGGGAAUUUAUCAGAAAAAAUUUCUCCGAUUUGCCGUAGCUAAACUCGAAUCCUAGAUACGACCAAUAUAAAUUGCAAAUAAACCCAAAAGGCCCAUUAUAUGUCUCAUCGUUUCUCACUGAAUAUUGGCGUUAUUUGCUAUAGCUGCUAUAAUGGAUCUGCCUGUUAGAAUGUGUGGGGUAAAUUUUUGUUAGAUAAAUUUUUCAAUAAUGUAAAUAUUGAUUAUGGCCUUGAUAUUUCCUUUAUACAUUUUCUUUUAUUGAGAUAUAUAUUGGUUGCACUGGCCUUCCCAUUGAUGAUCUUGAUUCUUGAAUAAUUCUUUAUUGACUAUAAUGCACAUUUUUCUUGAGGUAAUCUAUGAUUUAUAAUUACAUGUAAAAAUAUAUAUAUAUUGAUAUUCUACGACAUUGACAAUUACAAUAAAAUAAGCAUUCAACAAUUUUAUGUCAUCCCCAUUCCGAUGAUCUUCGCUCAAAACUUGGAUUCACUCCCUUAUUAUUCUUGUUUGAAUAUCUUUACUAUGUGAGAUUCCCUUAUUUUUAGGAAAAAUUGUAGUCAAUGUACCAAACCUUUACUUUAUUUGCAGACUUUGUUCGAACAUUUCAUUUGUGUCACCGUAAGUACCCAAGCUUUAAAAAAUCUGCACUUGGAUAGAAACCGUUACUUUUUCCAUUGAUUGACCAAAAAUUAAAUGUCUGACCAUUGUUGACUAAUUUUCAAGAGCAAAAAGGUAACUUUACAUUUUUUUUCAUACAAAAAAGCUAAAAUAAAAGGAAUUAAAUAAAUAAAUAAAUCAUAUUAUCUUCUCUACUCACCCACCCCCUUCCUGAAACCAAAACCAAGAGCACGAAAACGCCGACACCCAGCACCUUCGUCUCCAACCUUGCUUGGCAUCACCAUCCAACAAUCACCAAUCGAAUCUUCUCCCAGGAGGAUAAACGCCUUCAAUCAAAACCCAAGCAUUUAUCCUAAUAUAAACUCAUGCAUAACUUUCUUGGAAACCCAUCUCUAGUUUUGAUUCAGAAUUUGGGGAAAUUAAGGAAAAAUGAUGACAACUGAAGGGAUGAUGGAUAGAAUGGGUGUUGGAUGAUAUAAUAAGGGGGCUUUUGGAAGGCAGGNNNNNNNNNNNNNNNNNNNNNNNNNNNNNNNNNNNNNNNNNNGAAUAGGUGCAGCUUUCAAAGGUGGAGAUCUGGCAACUUUCGGAGGCAGAGAUGAUUGGAUAAAUUUCUAUCUUAAACCCAUCUCAACUGCCAUACUACAAAUUCUUCAUACAGUGAACUAAGAGCUACAAUUGAAAAGUGAAGGAAUUGUGUAAUUUUGUCUUUGCCUUCCUCAACAAAACUCUGCAAUACUAUGUCCAUGUCUGAAAUCUAGAUUUCAAACUCUACAUUUCCUUCUCAAGAUUUGUAGAAGGAGUGGUGGUGUCGAUGGAUUUGGUGGCAAUCAUGAUUGGUGGAUUUGAAGGUGGAAGGUGGCAGUGGUCCGAUGGCUGUGAUUUCGGAAAGAAGAAGGGUCUUCCCUUUUCUAUUAUACUUUUUUUUAUAUUUGUAUUAAUUAUUACAGCAUUACCUUUUUGUCCUUGAAAAUUAGUCAACAAUGGUCAGACCUUUAAUUUUUGGUCAAUCAACGGAAAAAGUAAAGAUUUUUGUCAAUUUGGAUUCCAAGUGCAGAUUUUUUAUAGAUUUGGUAUUCACGGUGGCACAAAUGAAAAGUUUAGACAAAAUCUGCAAACAAACAAAAGGUUUGGUACCUUGACUGCAAUUUUUCCUACUUUUUAUGCUUGAUUUAAGGAUAUUUUUAUAGAAAAAGUACAUAACUACAUUACUUUAAUUAUUCAAUUUCUUAUUUAACAAACUUACAAAAAUAUUUCAAAAAUCAGAUGAUAAAUUAUAUUAAUUUAUUAUAUUUUUCUAAUAUUGUAGUAAAUGAAAUUUAGGAAUAUUAGUCUAAUUUACAAUAUUUCCAUUAACAAUAUCGUAUCAUAAUAUACAAUAAUUUAACUAUUAAGAUAAUUGUUUCUCUCACCUCCAACUUUCUUUCUUUUACAGAGACUCUCUUGGGGUUCCAAAACUAUGAAAUUUUUUUUGCAAAAAUCAGGCAAUCAAAUUUUGUAACAUCUGAUAAAAUUGGUAACAUAUAAUUAAAUUAAACAGGCCGCGAUCCCAAUAAGUCAAUAAAUUAUAAUUUACCGUCACAAUGCAAAUAACACACAAUCACAAAAAUAUAAUUUGUAUAUCAUAAUUACAAAUUUAGUUGUAAAUUACUCACUUUUAUUUGUCACGAAUUAUCAAAUUAACUCGUUACAAUCACUAUUCAUCGCACCCUAUCCUAUUUCAUCACCAUUGACACCACCCAAAUCAUUGUUACUACCUCAAAUCUACAACCUACAACCACUUUCACAUUCACCUCAAAUCCACGAAAACCGAUGACAUCUCAACCUCCAUUGCCGCCGCCACCACCCUUCGUCGCGGGAAAAAAAAACUAAUGCAAAAACCACCAAAAAGAUCAACAUUUUAAAUUAUCUAGAAAUAUGUCAAUAAUUAUUCGUAGUUAUGAAUAGUCAUCAAAUCUGGUGUUAAUGUAGCAUUAUUAUUUGCCCAAGGCACUUCAAAUCUGGUGUUAAUGCUGCUAACGUCGAUGAUAACUUUUUUCUCUUGAAUUGAUUUCAACAAAAAGCUAUAGUGCAAUACGUAUGACGAUGUUGAAACAACUAUAGAGCUCCUCUAGGUAAGGGAGCUCAAUAUGAUUGCCUUCAUUAUAUAUAUAUAUAUAUAGAGAGAGAGAGAGAGAGAGAGAGAGAGAGAGAGAGCGUGCAUUUGUUGAGAAAUAAAGUGUUUAGUAGAGAGAGUUGAUAAUAAUGUAGCCAAAAAGUAUUUUUACAAUGGAAUGGACCGCGGAUAGCAGAGAAUAAUCUUGCAUAGGUACUUACGUAUAAUAAAUAUCACUACAAUAUAAAAGAGUCUAACCCUUUGGCACUGUUCAUUCCGGACACAUGUCUCAAUUUCCCGUUGUUCAAGCAUUAUGAUGUCGUUAGGAGAAAUUUUAAAGUUGCCCUAAUUGCUCUCCUUCAAGGCAAUAAAUCCUCUCAUCUCUUGCUCUCUUCCAGAGGAAAUGACUCCGGUCACUAUUUCUCGGCAACAUAAAUAAGCCGUUGUUGCCUCAUCGUCAUAAUCACCACCAGGGAAGGAGUCACCUCAAGUAGACAAUCAACUACUUGAUUCAGAUUUUAUAGUGAUACUAUUGACACUUCUCUUCAUACUAAUCUGUGUUCUUGGCCUUUUCGUCUAUUGAUACUAUCGAAAAUUCCGCUCUCCAUCAUCGUCUGUCUCUCCGCCACUACCUUCUCCUUAAGUGUCAUCGAUGCCUCUACCAUGUGAGCCCUUCCUUUUCUUUUUUAUUUAUUUUUUUGAGCUUUUAGUAUAUUUUUAUAGAUUUAGUAUUGUCAUUUGUGAACUAUGAUGAAUAAUGAAAUUAAUGAUGAAUUUUCAAUGAGUUGUUUGGAAUUCUAUGAAUUUCAAAGGAAAUGGAUUGUAUGGAAACCGUGGGUUUGGGUUGGUUUUGAUUCCCAUGUGCGAAAAAUGGUGUUUCUCGAAACACUCUAAAAGAGUGCUAUUUCUGUUAAUUGGUCUAUUUCGUCUAUUUAAAUAAACCUGCCUAAUGGGCAAAUAUUGGUUGGCCGGUUGAUGAUCACUCGGACUGCGCUAGUUUAGACCCUUUUUGGACCGUUAGAUUUAAUCAAGGGUUGAGAUGAUGCCAUGGAAAAUGAAGCGUCCUUUUUCUUGCCCAAAAGUUAUGAGGCUUUGUGAUACUUCAGAUUUUUCAUCUUCUCUCUUCUUCGUCUUUUUGGGUUUGAAAUUUUUCUUCUCUAUUUAUAAGGUUUUUGCGAUUGAUCAAAUAGAUUUUUUAGGUCUUGUGUACAAUCAGGCUUGAGAUAUUGGCUGAUCUUGUAUUGUUAAACUCUGAAAAUGUUUGGUUGAUUUGUUUGGUAGAUUUGUGUAUGUUUCAUGAGAUCGAUUCGAUCAAUGAGUGAAACCUUGUGGCCUGAAUGGUUCUUGGUGUACUCUUGCUCUCUUGAACGGUAGAUUGUGCCAUAGUGGAAUGGGCUGUCCCUGAGCCCCCAGAUUAGGCCUAUUUUGGCUUAAUUUGGUCAACAUUUUUUCGUGUUCUUGUGUUCGUUUUAUGAUUCUUUGUGUAUGAUGUUUGUUUUUAUUUCAAAUCUUUUUAAAAAUCAACAGUAAAUUCCCAAAAAAAUUGGUAUCAAAGCCUCAAGGUUUCUGGGUUCAAUAUUUUUUUGUGAAACAUCUUUUCUGGGUCAUUUUGGUUCUUCAAUCUGUGUAGAUCUUUUCUGAUCUACACACAUACAGUUUGGUAUCUUGUCUAUUUUUUUAUAAAUUUGUUUACUAAUCAGUUUGUUUUUGUAAAAGUAAUGAAGGUGACAAACAGAGGCUUUGGUUGUUGGUUUGAUUUCAUGCAUUGUAUCAAUAAUAUUGUCUCGACAGUAUUGGUAAGAUCUGUCCAUAAUACUUUGUGAUUUCAAUUGGACAUUUAUUGUUUGGAAUACAUGCACAUAUCGAUAUAUGUUGUUCUGGAUUUUGUGAAUUAGUAAUAUAUAUAUAUAUAUAUAUAUAUAUAUAUAUAUAUAUAUAUAUAUUUAUAUAUUGAGCCUGUUUUGUACCUUGAUAUAUAUUUGACUGGAGUUCUUGUAUAUCUGAUUAAAUUGGUAUAAAGAUAUACUAUCGAAUACUUGCUCAAUCUCUAAAAAGUUUUUUGGAACUUUGGUUUCUUGAAACUAUUUACUAUAAAAAAAAUUCAAAAACCUUUUUUACAAAAUCCAUGAGUUUAAGCCAAUCUUUUACAAAAUCUAUAAUGGGUUUGAAGGUCAAAUUGUUCCAUUUCAAUGGAAAUGGGGAUUACUCUGUAUGGAAGCAAAAAAUGGGAGCCAUCUUGGUCCAACAGAGGGUUGCAAAGGCUCUCGAUGAUCCUGAAACUUUUUCUUUUAAGUUAAAAGCAAAACCUGCUAAAAUUGAAGAAAUGAAUGAAAUUACCUAUAGCUCUAUAAUUUUGCAUUUAUCUGAUAAUGUGGUUAGACAAGUUAAUGAUUCCAAAACUGCAAGAACUUUGUAAAAUGCCUUGGAUGAUUUGUUUUAAACCAAGACUCUUCCUAACAAGAUAUAUUUGUUAGAAAAACUAUUCAGUUUCAAAAAGGACCAAGAAAAGGAUUCGGAAGUCAAUUUAAGUGACUUCAGCAUAAUUGUUAAAAGUCUUGCACAAAAUAAUAAAAAAAUUGAAGAUGAGGACUUGGCUGUUAUACUAUUGAAUUCACUGCCUGAAUCUUAUAAAGAUGUUAAGAAUGCCAUAAAAUAUGCUAGGAACACACUUACACAAGCAAUUGUGAUCGAUACCUUAAGGUCAAGAGAGUUAGAUGUGAGGAGAGAAAAUAGAACCAACUCAGUAGAAGGAAGCUUAUUUGUAACGGAAGAACUAAAAAGAAAGGAUUUAAUUUCCAAAACAAGAAGGGAAGGGAAAGAUCUAAAUCCAAAGAUAGAAGUAAUAAGAAGUGUUAUAACUGUGGAAAAUUGGGACACUUCAAGAGGGAUUGUUUUGAGUGAAAAAAGAAACAAAAAGAUCAGAACAAUAAUGAUCAGAAUAAUGAAGCCAGUGACUGACUUGGACAGUCUACAUGUACUAAAUGUGUCAACUGAAAACUCUAGUAAAGAUUGAAUUCUAGAUACUGGAUAUACCUUUCAUAUGUGCCCUGAAAAACAUGGUUUUAUAAUUACAAUGAAAUAGAACUAGGAAAAGUGUAUACGGGAGAUAAUAAUUCUCGUAUUGUGAUUGGCACUGGUGACAUUGCUAUAAAAAUAUUUGAUGGCAUUGUCAAGUCAAUAAAAAAUGUGAGAUAUAUCCCAAAUCUGAAAAGGAGCCUUAUUUCACUAGGGAUACUUCAAUAUGAGGGAUAUAGCUUUAAAUCUGAUAAUAAAACUCUGAAAAUUAUGAAGGACUCUUUAGUAGUGAUGAAAGGACCUAAAAGAAAUGGUUUAUACUAUCUAGAGGGAAAAAAUAGUUAUAUCGCCUUAUUCAAAUGUAUUGACUGUAAAUGAAGAUAAAUCUGGUCUUUGACACAAUAGAAUGGGACACACUGGAAAUAAAUGGCCAAAAUCUUUAAGUAAUCAAAAAUUACUUGGAAACGAUGACAUUGAGCCCAUAGACUUUUGCGAGACUUUUGUGUUGGGUAAGCCCAACAAAAUUAGUUUUGAAUCCAGCUCACAUGGGACCAAUAGGCCCUUAGACUAUGUACAUGCUGAUCUCUAGAGUCCUGAAAAGCAUUCCACUUUUGGUAGAAGUAAGUAUUUCUUAUUCCUCGUAGAUGAUUAUUCUAGGAAGGCUUGGAUUUAUCCUUUAAAGGCUAGGUCAGAAACCUUUCAGAAGUUCAGGACAUGGCUAAGAAUUGUUGAAAAUCAAUUAGAGAAAAAAAACUAAAAACUCUAAGAACUGAUAAUGGGCUGGAGUUCUGUAAUGCAGAAUUUGAUAAUUUCUGUAAGCAGAAAGGGAUAUUGAGGCAUAGGACUGUGAAAUACACAACCCAACAAAAUAAGGUAGCUAGGAGAAUGAACAGGACUAUAAUGAAUAAGGUUAGAUGCAUGCUUAUCAGUUUUGGUGUGGCUAAAGUUUUGGGCUGAAGCUGCCUAUACAAUAGUCUAUUUGAUUAAUAGAUCUUUUUCUAGUAGUGUAGACUUCGAAACCCCACAAGAACUAUGGACAGGUGAAUCCCAAAACUUAACCCAUAUAAGAGUUUUUGGAUGUGCAGUAUAUGCAAUUCAAUCUGAAGGAAAAUUGGAACCUACAACCACCAAAUGUGUGAUGCUAGGAUAUCCAGAAGAUGUUAAAGGCUACAGGUUGUGGGUUUUCGGUGUUCCAUGCAUUAAGAUUAUCAAUAGGAGAGAUGUAAUCUUCAACGAAUUAGAAAUUUCAUGCCUAAAACAAAAAUUUAAAGGAACAAAUGAAUUUGAAAAUAAUAAGAUAUUCAUAGUGAGGUGAAGUUAACUAAAUUUAACUUACCUCAACCUGAAGAUGAUGAAAAUACUACUAUUUAUCAUCAGAAUGAACCUGUUCCUGAAUGUGUUGAAGCUAAAGAACCCUAAUUUGAGGCUGAACUUGAAGAACCUGAACAAAUUACCGAACAUACUGAUAUUCAAGAUUGUCAACUCAUUAAGGAUAGGGUAAGAAGACAACCUAGACAUGAUCCUAGGUAUGAACUAUUAAAUCUAAUAGACUUUGCCUUAGUCUCUAAAGAAAAAAUAGAACAAGCUGAACUUGCCUCUUAUGAAGAAGCAAUUCAUGGGAAAAAUUCUGAAAAUUGGAUAAAGGCCGUGAGAGGGGAGAUGCAGUCCUUAAAUGAAAAUAAAACUUGGAAGCUUGUUAGAAAACUAAAGGAUCAUAGGGUAGUACAAUGUAAAUGGAUUCACAAACUUAAAGAGGGCAAUAGCCCAACUAAUAUUUUUAGGUUUAAGACUAGACUAGUGGCAAAGGGGUAUACUUAGAAAGAAGGGGUUGAUUACAAUAAGAUAUUCUUACCCGUAAUCAAAUAUAAAAUCAUCAGAUUGAUACUAGCACUAGUUCUCAAAUAUAAUUGGGAACUUGAACAACUUGAUGUGAAAAUCGCCUUCUUCCAUGGAAAAUUAGAAGAGGAUAUCUUCAUGAGCCAACCUCAAGAUUUUGAGAUUAAGGGCAAGAUUGAUUAUGUAUGAAAACUUGAAAAAUCAUUGUAUGAACUGAAACAAAGUCCUAGACAAUGGUAAAAAAGGUUUGAUGCAUAUGUAUUAAGAAGUGAAUUUGAUGCUUGCUUGUACUAUAACAACCUGAAAAGUGGUGGUGAAGUUUACUUACUAUUGUAUGUGGAUGAUAUGCUUCUGGCUAGUCCUGAUAAGUCUCAAAUUACAAGAUUAAAGGAUCUUUUGAAAUAUGAAUUUGAUAUGAAAGACUUAGAAUGUGCUAGAAAAAUCUUAGGAAUGGUUAUAAAGAGGAAUGGACUUGAAAAUAGACUAACAAUUACACAAGAAAUAUAUCUAAACAAAUUAGUAACCAGGUUUGGAAUGAAAGAUAGUAAAUUUGUUAAUGUACCCCUUGCAGACCACAUGAACCUAUCUAAAUCUCAGUCCCCUAAAUCUGAAGAAGUAAAGGAAAUGGAAAACAUACCCUAUGUAAAUGCAAUAGGCUCUGUAAUGUUUUCAAUGAUAACCACCAUACCUGACCUUGCUUAUGCAAUCAGAUUCUUAAAUAGAUUUAUGUCCAACCCUGACAAGGCUCAUUAGGCAGGAAUGAAAUGGUUGCUUAGAUAUAUUGUUGUUACAUUAAAUCUAGAACUAGUUUAUGAGAAAAGAUUUGAAAAUGUAACCCUAAAAGGUUAUGUAAAUGCUGACUUUGCUGAUGACAAAGACAGUAGGAAAUCAACUAUAGCUUCUUCUUCUUUUCUUUUUUUUUUCUUUUUUUUUUUGUACUCUUAGGAAAAGUUGCAUAACUUGAAAAUCUCAAUUGCAACCAUUAGUUACAUUGUCUAGGACGGAAGCUGAGUAUGUAGCCAUAAUUGAAGCUGUGAAAGAAUGUAUUUUGUUAAGGGAGAUUUUAAAAGAACUGAACGUUAUGAAUCAUACUCUUGUUAUAUAUACAAAUAGCUAGAGUGCUCUAUUACUUUGUGAAAAUCCUGUCUAUCAUGAAAGAUCAAAAUAUAUUGAGAUGAAGUAUCAUUUUAAAAGAGAACAACUAUCUCAAGGAAAAGUUAAAUUGACUAAAGUUCGUAUCGAUAAAAAUCCUUCUCAUAUGGGGACCAAAGUUUUGCCCAUAUGUAAGUUUAAAAUAUGUUUACUCUUGCUUUAUAUUGACACAGGUUAAUUUUCUUUUGCAGGUCUUAGGGAAAUGAUGAUGGAUAGUAGUUCCACGGGCACUUUCAGCAACCAGAGAACGAGUGCUGUUGAGAAUCAAGGUGAAGAACGUGAACAUUUGUGUUUCUUCAAACACUCUAAAAGAGUGCUAUUUCUGUCAAUUGGUCUAUUUCACCUAUUUAAAUGAACAUUCCUGAUUGGCAAAUACUGGUUGGCCGGUUGAUGUUCACUCGGACUGCGCUAGUUUAGACCCUUUCUGGACCGUUGGAUUUAAUCAAGGGUUGAGAAGAUGCCUUGGAAAAUGAAGCGUUCUUUUUCUCGGACAAAAGUUACGAGACUUUUUGAUACUUCAGAUUUUUCAUCUUCUCUCUUCUGGUUUUCUCUCUUCUUCGUCUUUUUAGGUCUAAAAUUUUUCUUCUCUAUUUGUAAGGUUUAUAUGAUUGAUCAAAUGGAGUUUGUAGGUCUCGUGUACAGUCAGGCCUGAAAUAUUGGCUGAUCUUGUAUUGUUAAACUCCAAAAAUGUUUGGUUGAUUUGUUUGAUCAAUUUGAGAAUGUUUCAUGAGAUCGAUUCGAUCACUGAGUGAAACAUUGUGGUUUGAGUGGUUAUUGAUGUACUCUUACUCUCUUGGACGGUAGAUUAUGUUAUAGUGGAAUGGGCUAUCCCUGAGCCCCCCAAAUUAGGCCUAUUUUUGUUGAACCAGGUCAAUAUUUUUGGUGUUCUUGUGUUCAUUUUAUGAUUCUUUGUGUGUGAUGUUUGUUUUGAUUUCAAAUCUUUUUAAAAAUCAACCAUAAAUUCCCAACACUAUGCCUUUAGGUUUUAGUGGAGUGAUAGGUAGGGAGAGGUUCACUGAUGAGAAAUGAAGGAAGCAGCAAAUGUUGGAAUUGGAGGUUUUCCCAAAGAGGUUGGAGUUGGUGCAGGAUCAGAUUAUAGCAUAAUUUGAGGAAAACUCAGGUCUAUAUGGAGCUUUUUUUUUUCAUUUUUUUUUUUUUUUGCAGCUUUUUUGUUCCAAGUUCAUUUUUGACAUUUAGAUAUUAUAUAUCUGUUUGUAUUUAUGGUACAUAUAUUUUGUACAAGUGAUAUGUAAUUAUGGAUUCUCGCAGAUCUUGUUGAAAAUCAUUUUGGGUUUAUAAACUUCCUCUCAGCUUAUUUUGUUGUCAGUCAGGUAAAGAGGAAAAUUGUUGGGUUUUUUCAAUUUGAUCUUAUCAGAAAAUUGUUGUUUGUUUUGACAUAUGGAUUUUGCAGUUUUAUGAAAAAAUGAAUUUGAAAUUUAUUUUACUGGGGUGUUAUUCAUUGAGUUAUUGUUUAGAAGUGAUUACUUGGUUUUUAUGAACAUCUGAUGGCGUGAAUGGUUUGGUUAUAUGAGUUUUUGACUGAUUGCAAUGGAGGACGUGUCUAAUUAUGUUAAGAAAAGCCUUGAGUAGAUCACAUGCUAUACUUAUUCUUCGUUUUGGGAGAAAAAUAUGAUUUUUGUUGUCUUUUAGGGAUGGGUAGGUUGUGUGAUGAAAAGUUAAAAUUAAGCUGUUGUGAGAAUUUGUUAACUUACAAUCAGAAAUUAAUUUUUAUUUUGUUAAUAUUUCUCCUUUUUUUUUAUAUUUUUUCAUUUCUCUGUCUCAUCUCUCUAAUUUUUAUGUAGGUAUAUGUUUAUUGUACUUUAUGUAACCAUGUGUUUUCUGUUUCUAUGAAUUCUGGUUUCAAUUUUUUGUUCUCUUGAAUUAAUCAUUAUUUUUCUUAAAAUUUUGAUUGAUUAUAGAGUUUCGUUUCAGAUUUACAUAAACUAACCAUCGUAUUAAUUUUGUUAAAAGAUAGUCGUCUUCUAUAAAAAUUAAUGAAAUUUCAUGGAGUUUUCCAUUUAAAACAUUGAAUUCUUAACAAAACAAAAACUAAAUAAAAAUUAAUGGGGCGGGGGCAAGUACGGAUAACGGGGCGGAAUUCCCCGCCUCGAAUACCCCCGAUUAAGCAAGUAAUCACCAUCCCAUUUGAGACGGGGCCUUAGGUAUCGGGUUUGGCUAUUUUUUUCUAUCCCAACAUUGAAAUUAGGUUAUUGUUGAUAGAACUAUGAAAUUUCCUCUUUAUUUUUUCCUUCCAAUCUGUGUAAUCUGCCACCAGGGAGUCCAAGUCCAUUUAGCUUCUGUUUGGCCCCCCAUUAAUUUCCACUUCAUUACAUUUCAUUUUUUUCUCUCCUAUUUUCAACCACACAAUCUUUCGUAAAAUAAUAUUACACAUAAAUUAAAAACAUAUUCUUUUUCAACCACACAUUAAAAAAAUAUAUAUAUUCUACCCAUUUUCAUUUCCACAAAAUGAGGACCAAGUGGGAUAGACUUCAUUCCACUUUAACAAUUGGGUCAAGGCCCCCAAUUAAUGUAUUAUUUCUCUCAAGGGCUCAUUUCUUCCAAAUACUGUAAUUUAGUUCUUGAUAAAAAUUAAUUUGUGCAAUCCAUGUCCUCUUUAAUUCAAUUUAAGCCCUUCAAUUUCUAAAGAGUGAAAUUUGAUCCCCCAAAGCAGCAAAUUUUAUUCAAUUUCGUAUUUCUUGAUCAAUAUUUGCUUUGAUCCCGAGUUUUCUCCUAACAUAAUCCAAACACAAAUAAUUAAGUAUCAAAUUCACAAUAAUACUAACAAAUGCCCAUUUCGUGGCUUAGAUAAGUGUAAAUUUUACACUUAUUAGGAGUAUGUAAAUGAUUUCUAUUAAAUGAAAAUUAUAGUAACUAGUUGACGCUGAAAUACAUAUACUAGCAAACACAUAACAGCGAAUCGAUGAAAAUAACUUCGAAUUUGUCAUUGUGUUAAACACACUUUACGGAAUGUGGAAUGUCCCUAUAACAAAUUUUCCAAGAAAAUGUGAGAAUCUUUUUCAUGAAUAAGUUAGGAAACAAGAAAGGAUUAAACUAAUUGGAGAAGGGAUACAAGUUUUGGCAAAGAAAAAUUAUUCAAAUUAAAAGGCACGACUAUUUCCAAAAGAAGUUAAAAGAUAAUAUCUUUUAACUCAACCACCUUAUGAAAUUCAAAUUUUGUUCUAAUUUCUUCCUUCUAUAUCAUUUCAAGAGAGACGAUAUAAUUUCUUCAUUCAUACUCCAACAUAUUUAACUUCAUCAUUAUUCAAUAUAUGCUAGUGCACAUUACAUAAUUAAGACAGCAAACAUUAUACAACAUUACACUCUCAAACCACUUCUAAAUUUACAUAUUUAUUGGCAUCAUAUUCAUCCACGAAGUUGUAUAUAUAACGCGUAAAUGCUACACUUUGUCGAGCUAGAUUCAGCUUGGAGGCUUAAUUUAAGGUUGUGCAUCCCUCAUUCCACCAGCAUUCUUGCUGCCUCCUCCACCUCCGGACGAACCUCCUUUUGUAUAGCCUGCAGGAUAACCUCCACCUCCAGGAUAGCCUCCUGGAUAGCCUCCUGGAUAGCCAGGCCACCAACCUCCAGGUCCUGGCCAAUACUCUUAUUCACAAAAACAUUAACACAAUUCAUGUUAGCCAUUAAUACAUGUAUACUAUAUUAAUUUAUGCUCAUCAUAAAACAAAUUUAUAAAACACAGAACUUACGAUGAUCUGCUGUCGCUUUUGAUGUAAUCAGAAGAACUACAGCCAAGAAAAUGCAAAAAGUAAUUGUCUUGGAGCCCAUUUUUCUCUCCAAGAAUUUUCUUAUACUUUUUCUUAAUGAGUAUUUUGGUGUGUCAAGCCUCUAUUUAUAGCUAAAAUCUGGACAGAAAAGAGAGAGAGAGAGAGAGAGAUUUGCUAUUUGAGGUAAGUAGAGUACGUCUUGACUUGGUCUACCUUAUCCUCGACCUUUCAGGGUUUACUUGUUUGCAUUAGGGGGGAAAUAGAGAUGAUCAUGUAGUGCCGAAUUUCACCAACCGUCGAAAUUUAAUAUCAUAAAUAAGUUAAUGUCACACGAUGAAGUGCCUAAUUUAUUUUCAAUAUAUCCUAUAACUUAGUCGAGAAUAGUCUGCAUACAAGGGCCUGUUCUAUGUGAUCUAAUACCAUAUUUUUCUAUUUUCUUGUAGUUUAUUUCAGAAAAUUGACGCAG